AGCUAGGGGUUUCAGAGGGAGUACACGUAAGGGGCAAAAGCAGCAACGGAAUACGACAACGGAAUAAGCAUGAAUACGACCUGGCUACCUGAAGGAGGUACAAGAAAAUUCCCCAGGACACAGAGCUGGUUUGGAGCCUUUCUUUGAUUUUAUUGUUUCUAUUAAUGGUUCAAGAUUAAAUAAAGACAAUGACACUCUUAAGGAUCUGCUGAAAGCAAACGUUGAAAAGCCUGUAAAGAUGCUUAUCUAUAGCAGCAAAACAUUGGAACUGCGAGAGACCUCAGUCACACCAAGUAACCUGUGGGGCGGCCAGGGCUUAUUGGGAGUGAGCAUUCGUUUCUGCAGCUUUGAUGGGGCAAAUGAAAAUGUUUGGCAUGUGCUGGAGGUGGAAUCAAAUUCUCCUGCAGCACUGGCAGGUCUUAGACCACACAGUGAUUAUAUAAUUGGAGCAGAUACAGUCAUGAAUGAGUCUGAAGAUCUAUUCAGCCUUAUCGAAACACAUGAAGCAAAACCAUUGAAACUGUAUGUGUACAACACAGACACUGAUAACUGUCGAGAAGUGAUUAUUACACCAAAUUCUGCAUGGGGUGGAGAAGGCAGCCUAGGAUGUGGCAUUGGAUAUGGUUAUUUGCAUCGAAUACCUACACGCCCAUUUGAGGAAGGAAAGAAAAUUUCUCUUCCAGGACAAAUGGCUGGUACACCUAUUACACCUCUUAAAGAUGGGUUUACAGAGGUCCAGCUGUCCUCAGUUAAUCCCCCGUCUUUGUCACCACCAGGAACUACAGGAAUUGAACAGAGUCUGGCUGGACUUU
RNAcentral lists this small RNA (812 nucleotides) under Pan troglodytes (chimpanzee). RNAcentral describes it as "processed transcript". Lineage: Eukaryota; Metazoa; Chordata; Mammalia; Primates; Hominidae. The record is from RNAcentral.